Molecule: transfer RNA, 103 nt
Filed under: Trametes cinnabarina
Lineage: Eukaryota; Fungi; Basidiomycota; Agaricomycetes; Polyporales; Polyporaceae
Description: Pycnoporus cinnabarinus tRNA
Rfam family: tRNA
About the family: Transfer RNA (tRNA) molecules are approximately 80 nucleotides in length.
Source: Rfam by way of RNAcentral
GCCUGGAUGGCUCAGUUGGUUAGAGCGCAGGUCUCAUACUUCCGUAUGACCACUUACUGGGUGGGCAAUCCUGAGGUCGUGAGUUCGAGCCUCACUCCGGGCA